GCCUACCGCUUCCGAUUUGGUACAUUCUUCUCUAUAUAUGCGUUCCGAGUGUGCUGGAUUUAGGUGGAUUUUUUAGGGUUUCGUCGUCAGAUAAGGGAGCAUGGCUAGCAAUCGAGCCUCGCUGGUCGUUUGCUAUCGAAUCGAUUGUUCUUCUCAUAGAUGUAGUUCUGAUGGCAACCAUAAUCCUAGAUAACUCGAUUGCUGUCUUGUGGCGUCACUGGUUCUACUAGGUUUGGUAAUUAUCGCAUCGUAAAAAUCACAAAAUAUUCCAGACUAGCUGCAAAAUUGAAAUGGUUUGGAAAUUGCUCGCCUGCUUCUUAAACUAGCAGACUGGUUCACAGACAAGCAAGAAGGAUGUCACUCCGUUAGAUUUGUUACUUAUACCUUGACCAUGAGAAGUUCUUUAAUCAGAUCCUUUUGUGCCUGCAAGGAGCCAAGCCUAGGCUUUGGUGCUGUCAGAUGUCACAGUUGAUCAGUUACUAGUGACUUCAUCGAAAUAUAUGAACUUUGGGCAUUCUCAACCUAGUUGGAACUGUCGCAGAACAAUGAGUGCGUUUAGAAAGCAGGUGACUGCUUGCUUUGCUGAAGACCUGGGCUAGUUGUACAGCAUAUGUGAUUUCCCAGAAGCGAACGAGCAGGCUGAUGAGGAAGAAGCCUGGGAUGAGUGGUAAAUGCAGGAAGGAGAUGUUCGAUCCCCACCUUGGCGAUAAAACUUGCUGGUUGCAGUGCUGAUAGCUUGGUUACCAUGGUGGUGAUUAGGUUCUAUGUCCAGUUUGUGAAACUUUCGUUUUAUUCUGUGCUCUUUUGUGAGCCUGGUCCGGUGAUGGUUGUUUUGGGGCUCCUGGUAGCGGUGCUGAUCCAUGGUAGUGUAAAACUUUUGGUCUUUGUUGCGUAGUUUCGGAUGAUAUCAGGUUUUCGCCCCGCAGUUUGUGUUCCUGAUGACAGGCAUGAACGGUGGGUUUCCUGA
Long non-coding RNA from Hordeum vulgare subsp. vulgare (domesticated barley), 967 nucleotides. RefSeq lists it as uncharacterized. The record is from RefSeq and is a predicted model, not a curated record. NCBI's taxonomy places the organism in Eukaryota, Viridiplantae, Streptophyta, Magnoliopsida, Poales, Poaceae. The transcript is spliced from 2 exons.